UGACCGUCUGGACAGGACGUUGAUUAGAAGAGAGGCAGAGAAUGUACUGAUGCCCGCAUCUGAGUUCUUCGGGUGGCCUGGGGCCCGAAGACACAUGUGAUUCCAUCGUGUCAGGGUGACUGGUAGACCAUCCUCUGUGGCGGUGUUGUUGUUAAAGUCAGUGAGUCGUUGUUACGCUUCCCUCCUGGGAUGAAGUCUUGGGAAUUUUAGAGUAACUUCACACAUGCACUCCUAUUUUAUUAACACUCCUCAGAUGCCAUGCAGGGCUCUGAACUUCAAACAAAGCUGGCUGGGAUUUGAUCCUCCAAAGAGAAGAAGAGACUCCAUCAAGAUGCCCACAUGCCUGAAGCUAUUUGUUGGAUCCCAAAAAAAGAUGUGUAAAGCCACUCAGUAAAUCCCUUUCUGGAGGACACCGAAGUUGGAGGAUGGUAAGAAAGACAGAUCGCAGACCAGAGCGAAAGCGUUUUUGUCGUACAUCGACAUUAAAGGUUUGUUCAUCUCCUUUGGCAACUGUGUACUUCCUGCAUCUGAACCAAUAUUUGGAAGGGACGUUUUUUUCUGUUUAUAUAACUUCCAUGUUUCAGAGAAGACGUCACGGCUGAAAGAGAGGCAGUUUGAGAAAAGGUCUGUUCUCUGUUCUCCACAAGCCAAGGGAAACAUGUUUUUAAAAUCUUGCUAACACGUUAGC
Long non-coding RNA from Acinonyx jubatus (cheetah), 688 nucleotides. RefSeq lists it as uncharacterized. The record is from RefSeq and is a predicted model, not a curated record. NCBI's taxonomy places the organism in Eukaryota, Metazoa, Chordata, Mammalia, Carnivora, Felidae. The transcript has 3 exons.